GACAGAGGGUGCAAACGUUGUUCGGAAUUACUGGGCGUAAAGCGAGUGUAGGCGGUUCUCAAAGUCGGAUGUGAAAGCCCCGGGCUCAACCCGGGAAGUGCACCCGAUACUGGAGAGCUAGAGUGUCGGAGAGGUUGGUGGAAUUCUCGGUGUAGAGGUGAAAUUCGUAGAUAUCGAGAGGAACACCGGUGGCGAAGGCGG
RNAcentral lists this ribosomal RNA (201 nucleotides) under uncultured bacterium. Its description in RNAcentral is "partial 16S ribosomal RNA". It matches the Rfam family "Bacterial small subunit ribosomal RNA", at positions 524 to 724 of the family's 1533-position model. The record is from RNAcentral.